AGAAAAAUGAAACGCGACGGUUGGCCAGCUGUUUGUAUCUACGGAGAUAAGACGCAGCAAAAAAGAGAUUGGGUAUUACAAGAUUUUAGAUCAGGCAAAGCACCUAUUCUUGUUGCAACAGAUGUAGCUGUACGUGGACUUGGGGAUCUAUAAUUAAGGCAGUAAAUAACGGAAUAAAUCAUAUUUAUCCAAAUUUUGUACCAGAAGGAUAUUUGUGCAAUGCACUCUUCUAGUUAUACGAUUUAGUAGGAUAGUAAAAAAAGAGCAUUAUUUUAGAAUUUUAUUAUUAGCAAAAAAGAACCAAAUGAUAUCUAUUGAAAUUGAUUAUUUAUAAAUUGUUGAUAAAAGCUUAUUUAGAAAUAUUUUGAAAAUAAUUUGCCGCGCGCUUUAUCAAUAAUUCCUCUUAUGAAGCUAAAACAAGAAUUUAGUAAAAAAGAAAA
Molecule: long non-coding RNA, 440 nt
Organism: Vespa crabro (European hornet)
Lineage: Eukaryota; Metazoa; Arthropoda; Insecta; Hymenoptera; Vespidae
Exons: 3
Source: RefSeq, a predicted model, not a curated record